GGGAUGAUAGGCGCUGCCUUCUCCGAACCGAUCAUUAUGGAGGCUACGCCUUUACGAUCAUGAUCAUAUGGUAGACUAUGUCUCCUCAGAUCAAAUAUAUGGUUGGUUUAUAAUCAUAUGGUAGUUGACUCCUCAGAUCAUUACCUCCAUAUAAUAAAUAUCCAGAAGAUAUUUAAGAAAAGUUUGUGAAGAACUAAGAAAAAC
RNAcentral lists this long non-coding RNA (204 nucleotides) under Eutrema salsugineum. RNAcentral's name for it is "long non-coding RNA (ESAL_LNC001002)". Lineage: Eukaryota; Viridiplantae; Streptophyta; Magnoliopsida; Brassicales; Brassicaceae. The record is from RNAcentral.